ACGAAGGACCCGAGCGUUAUCCGGAUUUAUUGGGUUUAAAGGGUGCGUAGGCGGAUUAAUAAGUCAGUGGUGAAAGCCUCUCGCUCAACGGGAGAACUGCCAUUGAUACUGUUAGUCUUGAGUAUGGUUGAGGUGGGCGGAAUGUGUCAUGUAGCGGUGAAAUGCUUAGAUAUGACACAGAACACCAAUUGCGAAGGCAGCUCGCUAAGCCAUAACUGACGCUGAGGCACGAAAGCGUGGGGAGCAAACAGG
This 252-nucleotide ribosomal RNA is filed under the name uncultured bacterium. Its description in RNAcentral is "partial 16S ribosomal RNA". It matches the Rfam family "Bacterial small subunit ribosomal RNA", at positions 525 to 776 of the family's 1533-position model. The record is from RNAcentral.